GUAAGAUUUUUUAAUUCAUUUUGUGUCUUCAGUUUAUAAAGAAAAAACAAGUAUAGACAAUCAUUUUUAAGAUAUAUUGAGAACUGUUGAGUCGGCAGAAGAAGUGAAAUCAUCUGCAGUAGCCAAUU
Molecule: small RNA, 128 nt
Filed under: Arabidopsis thaliana (thale cress)
Lineage: Eukaryota; Viridiplantae; Streptophyta; Magnoliopsida; Brassicales; Brassicaceae
Description: ATSL288210
Source: RNAcentral